AUAUGAAGGAUUUGGGAACCCUGGAAGUCGUUCCUGGGCAGUGAGUUCUUUGUUCAAGACGCCAAGAACCUGGACACCUUCAACUGGUAACAUAUUUUGGUGAACCAGCCAGAGUCCACUGGCUAAGGGCAGAGAAACCCGCCUAGCCUCCAGCUCCUAUCAUUAAAGCUCAUGGAACAGGAAACAUGGGAAAGCAUGGCCUUAUCAAGUUAUAAGGAUGCUAGAAGUCAAGGCCUUCAUCCUGGGACAAAAGGAAAGCUCACAGUGGACCAUUGCCUCUGGUGGGAAAACUUGCAAGUGGCACCAGUGCCCACCUAAGGUCAGAGACGUCUGACACUCUAAGAUUGGACCCCAAAGGGGGACGCUCCGGGAGAUCCUCCAGUCCUCAACCUCUCCAAAGCGGAUGCCCUUGGCAGAAGGGCUGAGGCCCAGUACUAGGCCCUCUUACGAAUUUUCUCUCACAGUUACAAUACUGUUUGGCCCCAAUCUUAUUUGGAAUCUGAAGUUUGCUGUUGAAUGGGAAAGUGGGAUGGCGUUGCAUGUGGCCAGGCUUUUGUGCUGCUGUUCUAAGCAGGGGGCCUGGUUAACAUGUGAUGCUCUCCUUUGGUGCUGUUUGGGCCCAGUAUUCUUUGGAGUCUGGAGAGGUUUGGCUUUAAAAAUCAAACUGCCAGGGAAACUUCUGUACCUGAAAUUUUGGUUCAGAGCCUUCGUUGGAUUACCUAUUGGGGCAAAGUGAAACCAGUGAGCUUGUAUUGCUAUCUCAUGGCUAGGAUUCCAAGCCAUUAGAUCUUCAUUCAUGUGUGUGUACAUGUCUAGAUAUCUUUAUUUGUAUGUAAUUUAUUGUUAUAUGUUGUGUCUAUCAGAUUGGCUGAUAAGUAAAAGAGCGCUAAUAAAUUAAGCAAAUAAG
Molecule: long non-coding RNA, 907 nt
Organism: Cercocebus atys (sooty mangabey)
Lineage: Eukaryota; Metazoa; Chordata; Mammalia; Primates; Cercopithecidae
Exons: 3
Source: RefSeq, a predicted model, not a curated record